Molecule: long non-coding RNA, 699 nt
Organism: Solenopsis invicta (red fire ant)
Lineage: Eukaryota; Metazoa; Arthropoda; Insecta; Hymenoptera; Formicidae
Exons: 2
Source: RefSeq, a predicted model, not a curated record
UAUACUAUUCUUUAAAUUUAUUGCCGAAAUUAUGAUAAUUUAAUAGAAAAUUACUAGUUAAUAGUUAGUACGUGUAUCAAGUGCUCGGUGUAAACUAGUGUAAACUAGGCCUAUGAAUCGAGAAGAGGAGGCUCUUGGAUCUUCGAAAGCGGCGGCUGAGACUACCGAGACGGAGCUGGACGGAGCGAUCAGCGAACGGAUAUGUGUUUGUGAUUUCCGAUCAUCAGUUUGUUUCCUAUGUCCCAUGGAGCAAAACUUGUAAAUGCGCAAUCAAUGCAAGCCAAUGACAAAUACUAUUCCGGCAGAUCUCGUGUAAAUGAUCUACGGGAAGGCUCUUACGAUUGAUCAGCGCUAAUUUCGCAUUCCGCAAUUUUCGCUUAAUGGGACAUAUAGAAAAAUACACCUUAGCGGAGCGGAAUCGGAGGAAUAAAGCCGCUACCAAUCACGAACGUUCCGCAGUUCCGCCAUCCCAUGUGAGCGCACCCUUAGAUCUUUCGAAGUUGAAAUUAAAGAUAAGAUGCGAUUUUAUGAUUUGUCAUUAACACUGUGAUUUUUUUCUUAAAUCACAACGCGACAUACAAUAUAAUUUUGUUGUGAAAUGAUUGUACAAUUAAAAAUCGCAAAUGCUCAAAAUCGAACUUACCAUACAGCACUGAAGCUUCCAGUAAUAUUUCAAAAACAUUAUAACAUCACAAAUUA